Molecule: ribosomal RNA, 176 nt
Filed under: uncultured Isochrysis
Lineage: Eukaryota; Haptophyta; Isochrysidales
Description: partial Eukaryotic large subunit ribosomal RNA
Rfam family: Eukaryotic large subunit ribosomal RNA
Source: RNAcentral
CGGGGGAGCGGUUCGUUCUCACGCUCGGUCGUACUUAUAACCGCAUCAGGUCUCCAAGGUGUGCAGCCUCUGGUCGAUAGAAGAAUGUAGAUAAGGGAAGUCGGCAAAAUAGAUCCGUAACCUCGGGAAAAGGAUUGGCUCUGAGGGUUGGGCCUAGGGGUCUCUUAGUUUAGCAG